Molecule: long non-coding RNA, 1558 nt
Filed under: Homo sapiens (human)
Lineage: Eukaryota; Metazoa; Chordata; Mammalia; Primates; Hominidae
Description: HSALNT0370805
Source: RNAcentral
UCCCUGUGGCUGCCGAGUUCUCGGGAACAGCGGCUCGGCCUGCAAGGCUGUUGUUUCAAGAAAUGAAAAUGAAGGGCGCCCUGGAAUAGGUUCGCCGAAGAGAGAGCAACAUGGCCUGUCGCGGUGGCUCAUGCCUGUAUUCCCAGCACUUUGGGAGGCCAAAGCAGGAAGAUCGCUUGAGCCCAGGAGUUUGAGACCAUCCUGGACAAGCUUGCAGGCCUCUGGGAAGCAAGCCAUCGUGUGGCAGAGGCCCAGGUGGCAAGGAACCAAGGGCGGCUUCUGGCCAACAGCCAGCGAGGACCUGAGACCGUAGCCCAACACCCCUCCAGGAACUGAAUUUUGCCAGCAACCAGUGAGUGACCUUGGAAGUGGAUCCUUCCCCCGAAAGCCCGGCUUUCAGACGGAGGCUGGUGGGACCUCAACCCCAGCUGGUAUCCAGGCUCUUGACACCAUCUGGAGAAGGAAUUCAAGAGUGUGUCAGAAAAUGAUGAAAGUACAAAGAUUUAUUGCAAAGCGAAAAAUACACACUCAAGAAAGGGGAGUAUGGGUGGACUCAAGACAGAGUCCGAUGGGACUUGGGGUUUCUACCUUUUGGGUUUCUUUUUUUUUUUUUUUUGAUAUGGAGUCUCGCACUGUUGCCCAGGCUGGAGCGCAGUGGCGUGAUUUUGGCUCACUGCAACCUCUGCCUCCCGGGUUAAAACGAUUCUCCUGCCUCAGCGUCCCAAGUAGCUGGGAUUACAGGCUCCCACCACCAUGCCCGGCUAAUUUUUGUAUUUUUAGUAGAGACGAGGCCUCACCAUAUUGGCCAGGCUGUUCUCGAACUCCGGACCUUAGGUGAUCUGCCUGCCUCAGCCUCCCAAAGUGCUGGGAUUACAGGCGUGAGCCACCAUGCCCAAUGGGUGUGGGAUUUAGUAUAUUAAUGAGUGUAUAAUGAGGUCCUUGGUGAAACCUACAUCAAAUCCAGCACCGUGUUGGGUCCAGUCUGUCUUAGCCAGCUUGGUCCACACCCUGGUUUUUUAGGGUCUUAUUGGCCCCUUACUUCUGCAGCAAAAGUUUCCUUUUGCUAGUCAUGUGAAACUGCCACCUGGAAUUUUCUAUUCUCUAGUGACCACCCUGUAUUAUUCCUGUCUCACUGGGACCCUAAGAAAUUGGGAAUUCCAACUACACAUCCAAAAUAGUUUGACUAAAACUGUUGAAAAAAGAAAAAAAUAAUGGCAUAAAGUAUUGCUUGACUAAAUUCCAGCCAGGUGCAUUGGCCACUUUAGGUCGGGUGUGGUGGCUCAUGCUUGUAAUCCCAGCAUUUUGGGAGGCUGAGGCGGGAGGAUCACUUGAGGUCAGGAGUUCCAAACCAGUCUGGCCAAAAUGGUAAAACCCCCUCUCUACUAAAAAUACAAAAAUUAGCCGGACCUGGUGGCGGAAGCCUGUAAUCCCAGCUACUCUGGAGGCUGAGGCACGAAAAUUGCUUGAACCCAGGAGGUGGAGGUUGCAUUGAACCAAGAUCAUACCACUGCACUCUAGCCUGUGUGACAGAGAAAGAUUCCGUCUCAAGAAACAAAAA